This 253-nucleotide ribosomal RNA is filed under the name uncultured bacterium. RNAcentral describes it as "partial 16S ribosomal RNA". It matches the Rfam family "Bacterial small subunit ribosomal RNA", at positions 524 to 776 of the family's 1533-position model. The record is from RNAcentral.
GACAGAGGGUGCAAACGUUGUUCGGAAUUACUGGGCGUAAAGCGCGUGUAGGCUGCUCGGAAAGUCGGAUGUGAAAGCCCUGGGCUCAACCUAGGAAGUGCAUUCGAAACUUCCGAGCUGGAGUACUGGAGAGGAAGGCGGAAUUCUCGGUGUAGAGGUGAAAUUCGUAGAUAUCGAGAGGAACUCCGGUGGCGAAGGCGGCAUACUGGACCACUUCUGACGCUGAGGCGCGAAAGCCAGGGGAGCAAACGGG